GCCCAGACUCCUACGGGAGGCAGCAGUGGGGGAUAUUGCGCAAUGGGGGAAACCCUGAUGCAGCGACGCCGCGUGGGUGAAGAAGCGCCUCGGCGCGUAAAGCCCUGUCAGCAGGGAAGAAAAUGACGGUACCUGAAGAAGAAGCCCCGGCUAACUACGUGCCAGCAGCCGCGGUAAUACGUAGGGGGCAAGCGUUAUCCGGAUUUACUGGGUGUAAAGGGAGCGUAGACGGCCAGACAAGUCAGAAGUGAAAGCCCAGGGCUCAACCCUGGGACUGCUUUUGAAACUGCCGGGCUGGAGUGCAGGAGAGGUAAGCGGAAUUCCUAGUGUAGCGGUGAAAUGCGUAGAUAUACGGAGGAACACCAGUGGCGAAGGCGGAUUGCUGGACAGUAACUGACGCUGAGGCGCGAAAGCGUGGGGAGCAAACAGGAUUAGAUACCCUUGUAC
RNAcentral lists this ribosomal RNA (447 nucleotides) under uncultured bacterium. Its description in RNAcentral is "bacterial SSU rRNA". It matches the Rfam family "Bacterial small subunit ribosomal RNA", at positions 329 to 793 of the family's 1533-position model. The record is from RNAcentral.